UGGUAGAUGCACCUUGAUUAAAUCUUAGCCCCCGGCUUACAGCUGGGGGCCUUUAUU
This 57-nucleotide small RNA is filed under the name Cylindrospermum stagnale PCC 7417. RNAcentral describes it as "Nitrogen stress-induced RNA 1". It matches the Rfam family "Nitrogen stress-induced RNA 1". The record is from Rfam by way of RNAcentral. Lineage: Bacteria; Bacillati; Cyanobacteriota; Cyanophyceae; Nostocales; Nostocaceae.